Molecule: ribosomal RNA, 488 nt
Filed under: uncultured bacterium
Lineage: Bacteria
Description: partial 16S ribosomal RNA
Rfam family: Bacterial small subunit ribosomal RNA
Source: RNAcentral
GACGAACGCUGGCGGCGUGCUUAACACAUGCAAGUCGAACGGAAAGGCCCUGCUUUUGUGGGGUGCUCGAGUGGCGAACGGGUGAGUAACACGUGAGUAACCUGCCCUUGACUUUGGGAUAACUUCAGGAAACUGGGGCUAAUACCGGAUAGGAGCUCCUGCUGCAUGGUGGGGGUUGGAAAGUUUCGGCGGUUGGGGAUGGACUCGCGGCUUAUCAGCUUGUUGGUGGGGUAGUGGCUUACCAAGGCUUUGACGGGUAGCCGGCCUGAGAGGGUGACCGGCCACACGGGAACGGAGACACGGGCAAGAGUCGUACGGGAGGCAGCAGUAGGGAAUCGGCCGGAAUGGGCGAAAGCCUGACGGAGCAACGCGGCGGGAGUGAUGAAGGUCUUCGGAUCGUAAAACUCUGGUAUUAGGGAAGAACAAAUGUGGAAGUAACUAGGCACGUCCUGACGGUACCUAAUCAGAAAGACACGGCUAACGACGUG